AGCAAAAUGAAGAGGUGUUGUAAUCUGAAGCUAUCUGAUGUUGAUACAUACAUUCAUGGCCUUCAAAGUUCUCUGAUUGCU
Molecule: non-coding RNA, 81 nt
Organism: Zea mays
Lineage: Eukaryota; Viridiplantae; Streptophyta; Magnoliopsida; Poales; Poaceae
Source: Rfam